GAUGAACGCUGGCGGCGUGCCUAAUACAUGCAAGUCGAACGCUGAAGGAAGGAGCUUGCUCUUUCCGGAUGAGUUGCGAACGGGUGAGUAACGCGUAGGUAACCUGCCUGGUAGCGGGGGAUAACUAUUGGAAACGAUAGCUAAUACCGCAUAACAGUAGAUGUUGCAUGAUAUCUACUUAAAAGGUGCAAUUGCACCACUACCAGAUGGACCUGCGUUGUAUUAGCUAGUUGGUGAGGUAACGGCUCAUCAAGGCGACGAUACAUAGCCGACCUGAGAGGGUGGUCGGCCAGACUGGGACUGAGACACGGCCCAGAGGCCUACGGGAGGCAGCAGUAGGGAAUCUUCGGCAAUGGACGGAAGUCUGACCGAGCAACGCCGCGUGAGUGAAGAAGGUUUUCGGAUCGUAAAGCUCUGUUGUAAGAGAAGAACGAGUGUGAGAGUGGAAAGUUCACACUGUGACGGUAUCCUACCAGAAAGGGACGGCUAACUACGUG
Molecule: ribosomal RNA, 497 nt
Filed under: uncultured bacterium
Lineage: Bacteria
Description: partial 16S ribosomal RNA
Rfam family: Bacterial small subunit ribosomal RNA
Source: RNAcentral